Molecule: ribosomal RNA, 501 nt
Filed under: uncultured bacterium
Lineage: Bacteria
Description: bacterial SSU rRNA
Rfam family: Bacterial small subunit ribosomal RNA
Source: RNAcentral
AGAGUUUGAUCAUGGCUCAGAUUGAACGCUGGCGGAAUGCUUUACACAUGCAAGUCGAACGGCAGCACGGGGCUACCUGGUGGCGAGUGGCGAACGGGUGAGUAAUACAUCGGAACGUGCCCAAUCGUGGGGAUAACGUAGCGAAAGUUACGCUAAUACCGCAUACGAUCUACGGAUGAAAGCGGGGGAUCGCAAGACCUCGCGCGAAUGGAGCGGCCGAUGUCAGAUUAGGUAGUUGGUGGGGUAAAGGCUCACCAAGCCAACGAUCUGUAGCUGGUCUGAGAGGACGACCAGCCACACUGGAACUGAGACACGGUCCAGACUCCUACGGGAGGCAGCAGUGGGGAAUUUUGGACAAUGGGCGCAAGCCUGAUCCAGCCAUUCCGCGUGCAGGAUGAAGGCCUUCGGGUUGUAAACUGCUUUUGUACGGAACGAAAAGGUCCUGGUUAAUACCUGGGGCUCAUGACGGUACCGUAAGAAUAAGCACCGGCUAACUACGUG